RNAcentral lists this transfer RNA (72 nucleotides) under Cellulomonas hominis. It matches the Rfam family "tRNA". Rfam says of the family: Transfer RNA (tRNA) molecules are approximately 80 nucleotides in length. Their secondary structure includes four short double-helical elements and three loops (D, anti-codon, and T loops). Further hydrogen bonds mediate the characteristic L-shaped molecular structure. tRNAs have two regions of fundamental functional importance: the anti-codon, which is responsible for specific mRNA codon recognition, and the 3' end, to which the tRNAs corresponding amino acid is attached (by aminoacyl-tRNA synthetases). tRNAs cope with the degeneracy of the genetic code in two manners: having more than one tRNA (with a specific anti-codon) for a particular amino acid; and 'wobble' base-pairing, i.e. permitting non-standard base-pairing at the 3rd anti-codon position. The record is from Rfam by way of RNAcentral. Lineage: Bacteria; Bacillati; Actinomycetota; Actinomycetes; Micrococcales; Cellulomonadaceae.
UCCCCUCUGGUGUAGCGGCAGCACGCCGGCCUUUGGAGCCGCGAGGCCCGGGUUCGACCCCUGGGAGGGGAG